GAAAGAUUUAUCGCUUUAAGAUUGGCCCGCGGAAGAUUAGGUAGUUGGUGGGGUAAAGGCCUACCAAGCCGACGAUCUAUAGCUGGUCUGAGAGGACGAACAGCCACAUUGGAACUGAGACACGGUCCAGACUCCUACGGGAGGCAGCAGUGAGGAAUAUUGGGCAAUGGAGGAAACUCUGACCCAGCCAUGCCGCGUGAGUGAAGAAGGUUUUCGAAUUGUAAAGCUCUUUCGGAUGUGAAGAUGAUGACGGUAACAUCUAAAGAAGCCCCGGCAAACUUCGUGCCAGCAGCCGCGGUAAUACGAAGGGGGCAAGCGUUGUUCGGAAUUACUGGGCGUAAAGGGUGUGUAGGCGGGAAAGUAAGAUAGUGGUGAAAUGCCUGAGCUCAACUUGGGAACUGCCAUUAUAACUAUUUUUCUAGAGUGACAGAGAGGAUAUUGGAAUACCCAGUGUAGAGGUGAAAUUCGUAGAUAUUGGGUAGAACACCGGAGGCGAAGGCGAGUAUCUGGCUGUCAACUGACGCUGAGGCACGAAAGCAUGGGGAUCAAACAGGAUUAGAUACCCUGGUAGUCCAUG
This 577-nucleotide ribosomal RNA is filed under the name uncultured bacterium. RNAcentral's name for it is "bacterial SSU rRNA". It matches the Rfam family "Bacterial small subunit ribosomal RNA", at positions 202 to 799 of the family's 1533-position model. The record is from RNAcentral.